RNAcentral lists this ribosomal RNA (507 nucleotides) under uncultured Selenomonas sp. RNAcentral's name for it is "bacterial SSU rRNA". It matches the Rfam family "Bacterial small subunit ribosomal RNA", at positions 28 to 508 of the family's 1533-position model. The record is from RNAcentral. Lineage: Bacteria; Bacillati; Bacillota; Negativicutes; Selenomonadales; Selenomonadaceae.
GACGAACGCUGGCGGCGUGCUUAACACAUGCAAGUCGAACGGAGCGAAUGAAAGCUUGCUUUUAUGAGCUUAGUGGCAAACGGGUGAGUAACACGUAGACAACCUGCCGACAGGAUGGGGACAACAUUCCGAAAGGAAUGCUAAUACCGAAUGAAGCGGAGGAGAGGCAUCUCUCUUCCGUGAAAGAUGGCCUCUUUUUAUGCUAUCACCUGUUGAUGGGUCUGCGUCUGAUUAGCUGGUAGGUGAGGUAACGGCUCACCUAGGCGACGAUCAGUAGCCGGUCUGAGAGGAUGAACGGCCACAUUGGGACUGAGACACGGCCCAGACUCCUACGGGAGGCAGCAGUGGGGAAUCUUCCGCAAUGGGCGCAAGCCUGACGGAGCAACGCCGCGUGAGUGAAGAAGGUCUUCGGAUCGUAAAGCUCUGUUGACGGGGACGAACGUGCGUGAUGCGAACAGUGUCAUGCAAUGACGGUACCUGUCGAGGAAGCCACGGCUAACUACGUGC